UGUUGACGCUUUGGACUGCGGCUGCGCGCUGCUGCUAGUGAUUGUUAGAGAACCGCUCGUUUAACAUUUUGCGUGCUAAUGGCAUCACUGAGCCACAAAUAGUACGAUCGUUUUUUUCUCUGCACUGAACAGUCCGAAAAAGAAACAGUUUCUCACUUAAUUGGCUUUUAGCAGAGAGCCCAGAACAGCUACCAGAAUUCUUUACUGAAGCAGCAUUAGCCUUGGUUGCAAUUUUUGCAAAAUUUACUGCAUCUGCAACCUUGACAAGAAGGACUUGGAUGAAAUCUUUUGCAGCAGAAGAUCGCAGGGCUGAUACACCAACACAAGUAUUACAGUGCACCAGUGCUACCAAUGUUUACAUAAAGAAUUGUUACUACACAGAGAGGCCCAGAUUUGUGACGAGGCCACAAAGUCCCAGCAUACCGCCCAGCGGCUUUCUGAGGAGCACUGGAGCUGAGCUCCUUGACCAUGCUAGCGGAGCUGACAUGACCAUUCAAGAUCUGUUGCCAGUUCAUUGGUUUUCUUGUAUAAGAAGCUCUUCUUCAUUCAGACCUCUUCAUCUUGAUCAUUGCUGAUGAGCUAUCAAUAAUUUCAAGCUGGUUGAGCAUUUGUCUGAAGGUUAAAUAAAUCCAGCUCUGCUGUUUGCAUUAUUUCACCCAAGCGGAAGAAUUGUAUUUCCUCAUCACUCAUUUUUUUCCCCAAGCCACUAGCUAAGAAAAGGCUUUCAUGCUACAAAUAGUUUUCACGUGAACUGUACACUUAGGCAACACAUAUAUAUAAGGUGAGAUAGCCUUAGCAGAGCGGUGGUCUGGCUCGCUAUGGCAACAGGAGGCCUGUCCAGCUGCUGCUGUGUUAGGAUAAGCAAGUUGCGAGUCAGAAAGAGUGGUGGUUAUUCACUUAUUGCACUGUUACGGUUAAGAUGGUGUUCAUCUAGCUUAUCAUGCUGGUACAGAUUCUGUGAGAAGGGCGAUAAAAGUGAUAACUUAUAAUAUGUUAUUAUAACUUUUUGGCAUACAGGGUAUGAUGUCACUGACAUAAG
Molecule: long non-coding RNA, 1039 nt
Organism: Xenopus laevis (African clawed frog)
Lineage: Eukaryota; Metazoa; Chordata; Amphibia; Anura; Pipidae
Exons: 4
Source: RefSeq, a predicted model, not a curated record